AUUGUGGCGCUGUCAGUAGUGUUGGUUGUCGGGUCUUGGUGCUUCAUCAUGCUCCGUGUUUGACAGGAUCCGGAAAUAGCCAGGAGGAGGAGGGGAUGGCUUGGAGGUGGGCGGUGUUCGGCGCGGACAGGGCACACGCUAAUGUAUCGUUCGCGCUUUUGUCCGGAGUGUUAACAGAUUAGUUGUUUACAUGCCACAAGUAAAUGAGUUUUCCAAAAGUGUAGCCGCGGGCUUCAAACGUACCGCCACCCCGUGAGACAGCCCACCACCCCCCGGCCACCCUAACCAAUACAACCAAUGUAAAAUCUCAUGCACACAUACUUACACACAUACACAUACAUAUAUGCAUGUACAUCGUGAAAACACAAGCACACGAACAUCGCCAUUGCUACCUCGCUCUCGCUCUACCUCUUGUCUCUUUCCCUCCCCAACCCAAUCCCCUACCAAACUAACCCCCUCCCCCCUCUCAACCAACCUUGUUAAAUCUGAACGAUGACUUUUUGAGUAGUUGGUUGAACAUUUUGGACAAUUGCAUUACGUGAACGACAAACGCUGCGCGUAUGGAUGUGAAUGGAUACAGGUUCGCACCAAGAUACAGCCUGGCAGAUGCUGGAUGAUAGCGCACGCUCCGCUACAGCUCCAGCACCAGCUCCCACAUGGCCACAUUAUGUGCUGCCACGGCCGAUGUCCUCUGAAUACGCUCAUUAUAGUAUCGAUCACCUUUCAUGCGCCACAAUUGAGGAUGGAGUAAGAGAUACAAUCGCAUCAUGGCCAAGCCGCUGCAGAUACAUGCUGAAAUGCAAAUGUAAUACCGAAAGGGCCGCGGGGCACACAUUUUGAGCAGCGAUAUAAGUUCAAAACAUGGGAGUAGAAAAAUUACAGCUGUUAAGGACGUAAAAGGAAUAUAUAGGAAUAUAGGUAGAUAUUUUAAAGAUAUGUAUUUUAAAGCCACU
Non-coding RNA from Drosophila melanogaster (fruit fly), 953 nucleotides. NCBI's taxonomy places the organism in Eukaryota, Metazoa, Arthropoda, Insecta, Diptera, Drosophilidae. The record is from Ensembl.